This 24-nucleotide non-coding RNA is filed under the name Mus musculus (house mouse). The record is from RNAcentral. Lineage: Eukaryota; Metazoa; Chordata; Mammalia; Rodentia; Muridae.
UGGGGCAGUGGACAAUUUCCAGGG